UUCGCAAUGCCCGAAAGGGUGAACGAGCGACGCCGCGUGGAGGACGAAGGCCUUCGGGUUGUAAACUCCUGUCGAGGGGGAGGAAGGGGCAACCUUGACCGAUCUCUGGAGGAAGCACGGGCUAAGUUCGUGCCAGCAGCCGCGGUAAGACGAACCGUGCGAACGUUAUUCGGAAUCACUGGGCUUAAAGCGCGUGUAGGCGGAUGGGAACGUCGGCCUUUGAAAGCCCCCGGCUCAACCGGGGAAGGGGAGCCGAAACGACCGAUCUGGAGGGACGUAGGGGGACCUGGAACUUCCGGUGGAGCGGUGAAAUGCGUUGAGAUCGGAAGGAACGCCCGUGGCGAAAGCGAGGUCCUGGACGUCUGCUGACGCUGAGACGCGAAAGCUAGGGGAGCAAACGGGAUUAGAUACCCCGGUAGUCCUAGCCGUAAACGAUGGGCACUAAGUAGAGGGGUUUU
Molecule: ribosomal RNA, 458 nt
Filed under: uncultured bacterium
Lineage: Bacteria
Description: bacterial SSU rRNA
Rfam family: Bacterial small subunit ribosomal RNA
Source: RNAcentral